This 478-nucleotide ribosomal RNA is filed under the name uncultured bacterium. RNAcentral describes it as "partial 16S ribosomal RNA". It matches the Rfam family "Bacterial small subunit ribosomal RNA", at positions 356 to 826 of the family's 1533-position model. The record is from RNAcentral.
AGGGAAUCUUCCACAAUGGACGCAAGUCUGAUGGAGCAACGCCGCGUGAGUGAAGAAGGUCUUCGGAUCGUAAAGCUCUGUUGUUGGUGAAGAAGGAUAGAGGCAGUAACUGGUCUUUAUUUGACGGUAAUCAACCAGAAAGUCACGGCUAACUACGUGCCAGCAGCCGCGGUAAUACGUAGGUGGCAAGCGUUGUCCGGAUUUAUUGGGCGUAAAGCGAGCGCAGGCGGAAUGAUAAGUCUGAUGUGAAAGCCCACGGCUCAACCGUGGAACUGCAUCGGAAACUGUCAUUCUUGAGUGCAGAAGAGGAGAGUGGAACUCCAUGUGUAGCGGUGGAAUGCGUAGAUAUAUGGAAGAACACCAGUGGCGAAGGCGGCUCUCUGGUCUGCAACUGACGCUGAGGCUCGAAAGCAUGGGUAGCGAACAGGAUUAGAUACCCUGGUAGUCCAUGCCGUAAACGAUGAGCGCUAGGUGUUGG